GACGAACGCUGGCGGCGUGCUUAACACAUGCAAGUCGAACGGAAAGGCUCCAGCUUGCUGGAGUACUCGAGUGGCGAACGGGUGAGUAACACGUGGGUGAUCUGCCCUGCACUUCGGGAUAAGCCUGGGAAACUGGGUCUAAUACCGGAUAGGACCGCACUUUGGUGUGUGUGGUGAAAGGUUUUUCUGGUGUGGGAUGAGCUCGCGGCCUAUCAGUUUGUUGGUGGGGUAAUGGCCUACCAAGACGGCGACGGGUAGCCGGCCUGAGAGGGUGGACGGUCACAUUGGGACUGAGAUACGGCCCAGACUCCUACGGGAGGCAGCAGUGGGGAAUAUUGCACAAUGGGGGAAACCCUGAUGCAGCGACGCCGCGUGGGGGAUGAAGGCCUUCGGGUUGUAAACUCCUUUCGCUAGGGACGAAGCUUUUUGUGACGGUACCUGGAGAAGAAGCACCGGCUAACUACGUG
This 467-nucleotide ribosomal RNA is filed under the name uncultured bacterium. RNAcentral describes it as "partial 16S ribosomal RNA". It matches the Rfam family "Bacterial small subunit ribosomal RNA", at positions 28 to 507 of the family's 1533-position model. The record is from RNAcentral.